Molecule: transfer RNA, 67 nt
Filed under: Marmota monax (woodchuck)
Lineage: Eukaryota; Metazoa; Chordata; Mammalia; Rodentia; Sciuridae
Description: tRNA.Ala
Source: RNAcentral
GGUUGUGGCUCAAAGGCAGAGCGCUUGCCUAGCACACAGGAGGCACUGGAUUCGAUCCUCAGCACCA